AGAGGGUGCGAGCGUUAAUCGGAAUAACUGGGCGUAAAGGGCGUGUAGGUGGAAACAUAAGUCAUAGGUGAAAUCCCCGGGCUCAACCUGGGAACUGCCUGUGAAACUGUGUAUCUAGAGUACGAGAGAGGAAAGUGGAAUUUCCGGUGUAGCGGUGAAAUGCGUAGAUAUCGGAAGGAACACCAGUGGCGAAGGCGACUUUCUGGCUCGAUACUGACACUGAGGCGCGAAAGCGUGGGUAGCAAACAGGGAUUAGAUACCCUGGUAGUCCACGCUGUAAACGAUGAGAACUAGGUGCUGGUUAGUUUAUCUAAUCGGUGCCGUAGCAAACGCGUUAAGUUCUCCGCCUGGGGAUACGGCCGCAAGGCUA
RNAcentral lists this ribosomal RNA (370 nucleotides) under uncultured organism. Its description in RNAcentral is "partial 16S ribosomal RNA". It matches the Rfam family "Bacterial small subunit ribosomal RNA", at positions 527 to 896 of the family's 1533-position model. The record is from RNAcentral.